AUUGAACGCUGGCGGCAGGCCUAACACAUGCAAGUCGAACGAGUGGCGGACGGGUGAGUAAUGUCUGGGAAACUGCCUGAUGGAGGGGGAUAACUACUGGAAACGGUAGCUAAUACCGCAUACCAUCAGAUGUGCCCAGAUGGGAUUAGCUAGUAGGUGAGGUAACGGCUCACCUAGGCGACGAUCCCUAGCUGGUCUGAGAGGAUGACCCGCCACACGGGAACUGAGACACGGUCCAGACUCCUACGGGAGGCAGCAGUGGGGAAUAUUGCACAAUGGUCGCAAGCCUGAUGCAGCCAUGCCGCGUGUAUGAAGAAGGCCUUCGGGUUGUAAAGCACUUUCAGCGGGGAGGCGUUACCCGCAGAAGAAGCACCGGCUAACUCCGUGCCAGCCGCCGCGGUAAUAC
This 406-nucleotide ribosomal RNA is filed under the name uncultured bacterium. Its description in RNAcentral is "partial 16S ribosomal RNA". It matches the Rfam family "Bacterial small subunit ribosomal RNA", at positions 30 to 526 of the family's 1533-position model. The record is from RNAcentral.